This 443-nucleotide ribosomal RNA is filed under the name uncultured bacterium. RNAcentral's name for it is "partial 16S ribosomal RNA". It matches the Rfam family "Bacterial small subunit ribosomal RNA", at positions 338 to 795 of the family's 1533-position model. The record is from RNAcentral.
CCUACGGGAGACAGCAGUGGGGAAUAUUGGGCAAUGGAGGCAACCCUGAUCCAGCGAAGCCGCGUGAGUGAAGAAGUAUUUCGGUAUGUACAGCUCUGUCAGCAGGGAAGAAAGAAAUGACGGUACCUGACCAAGAAGCCCCGGCUAACUACGUGCCAGCAGCCGCGGUAAUACGUAGGGGGCAAGCGUUAUCCGGAAUUACUGGGUGUAAAGGGAGCGUAGACGGUUUAGUAAGUCUGGAGUGAAAGGCCGGGGCCCAACCCCGGGACUGCUCUGGAAACUAUUGAACUGGAGUGCAGGAGAGGUAAGCGGAAUUCCUAGUGUAGCGGUGAAAUGCGUAGAUAUUAGGAGGAAGACCAGUGGCGAAGGCGGCUUACUGGACGGUAACUGACGUUGAGGCGCGAAAGCGUGGGGAGCAAACAGGAUUAGAUACCCCUGUAGUC